GAGGUGGGCCAGGCGACCGCGGGCGCGAGCAAUCGCGCAUGAGGAAAGUCCGGGCUCCACAGGGCAGGAUGCUGGCUAACGACCAGGCGGGGUAACCCGACGGAAAGCGCCGCAGAAAAGAAGACUCCCGCUGGCGCCGCGAGGCGUUGAGAGAAAAGCUGAAACGGUGGUGUAAGAGACCACCAGCGUCGUGGCAACACGGCGGCUUGGCAAGCCCCAUCCGGAGCAAACGCAAAUAGGAGCGCUAUGGUGUUGCCCGCACCGCGCUCGGGUUGCGCGCUAGAGGGCAGCGGCAACGCUGUUCGUAGAUAAAUGGCCGUCCACGACAGAACCCGGCUCAUAGGCCCACCUCGCGU
Molecule: RNase P RNA, 356 nt
Filed under: Coriobacteriia bacterium
Lineage: Bacteria; Bacillati; Actinomycetota; Coriobacteriia
Description: RNase P RNA component class A
Rfam family: Bacterial RNase P class A
About the family: Ribonuclease P (RNase P) is a ubiquitous endoribonuclease, found in archaea, bacteria and eukarya as well as chloroplasts and mitochondria. Its best characterised activity is the generation of mature 5'-ends of tRNAs by cleaving the 5'-leader elements of precursor-tRNAs. Cellular RNase Ps are ribonucleoproteins.
Source: RNAcentral